GCCUGGCUUGUUCAGCUGGUAGAGCAUGAGACUCUUGAUCUCAGGUUCGUGAGUUCAGGCCCCAUGUUGGGUG
This 73-nucleotide transfer RNA is filed under the name Felis catus (domestic cat). It matches the Rfam family "tRNA". From Rfam's summary of the family: Transfer RNA (tRNA) molecules are approximately 80 nucleotides in length. Their secondary structure includes four short double-helical elements and three loops (D, anti-codon, and T loops). The record is from Rfam by way of RNAcentral. RNAcentral also lists the same sequence under 3 other names. Lineage: Eukaryota; Metazoa; Chordata; Mammalia; Carnivora; Felidae.